ACCUACGGGACGCAGCAGUGAGGAAUUUUCCGCAAUGGGCGAAAGCCUGACGGAGCGACGCCGCGUGAAGGAUGAAGCUUUUCGGAGCGUAAACUUCUUUUAUGUGGGAAGAUUAUGACUGUACCACAUGAAUAAGCACCGGCUAACUACGUGCCAGCAGCCGCGGUAAUACGUAGGGUGCAAGCGUUAUCCGGAAUUACUGGGCGUAAAGAGUGCGUAGGUGGUUUUUUAAGUUAGAUGUUAAAUAUGCAGGCUCAACUUGCAUGCCGCAUCUAAUACUGGAAGACUUGAGAGUGGAAGGGGCAGACGGAAUUUAUGGUGGAGCGGUAAAAUGCGUAGAUAUCAUAAAGAACACCCAUGGCGAAGGCAGUCUGCUGGGACAUUUCUGACACUGAGGCACGAAAGCGUGGGGAGCGAUCGGGAUUAGAUACCCCUGUAGUCC
RNAcentral lists this ribosomal RNA (442 nucleotides) under uncultured bacterium. RNAcentral describes it as "bacterial SSU rRNA". It matches the Rfam family "Bacterial small subunit ribosomal RNA", at positions 337 to 796 of the family's 1533-position model. The record is from RNAcentral.